UUAACAGGGGUGCCGCAAGGCUGAGACGGAGAUUCCGAACCCUUUAACCUGAUAUGGAUAAUACCGGCGUAGGGAGUUAAACA
This 83-nucleotide non-coding RNA is filed under the name bovine gut metagenome. RNAcentral describes it as "TPP riboswitch (THI element)". It matches the Rfam family "TPP riboswitch aptamer (THI element)", at positions 6 to 94 of the family's 105-position model. Rfam says of the family: Vitamin B(1) in its active form thiamin pyrophosphate (TPP) is an essential coenzyme that is synthesised by coupling of pyrimidine and thiazole moieties in bacteria. The previously detected thiamin-regulatory element, thi box was extended, resulting in a new, highly conserved RNA secondary structure, the THI element, which is widely distributed in eubacteria and also occurs in some archaea. Analysis of operon structures identified a large number of new candidate thiamin-regulated genes, mostly transporters, in various prokaryotic organisms. The record is from RNAcentral.